RNAcentral lists this ribosomal RNA (492 nucleotides) under uncultured bacterium. RNAcentral's name for it is "partial 16S ribosomal RNA". It matches the Rfam family "Bacterial small subunit ribosomal RNA", at positions 29 to 507 of the family's 1533-position model. The record is from RNAcentral.
AGUGAACGCUGGCGGUAGGCCUAACACAUGCAAGUCGAACGGCAGCACAGUAAGAGCUUGCUCUUACGGUUGGCGAGUGGCGGACGGGUGAGGAAUACAUCGGAAUCUACUUUUUCGUGGGGGAUAACGUAGGGAAACUUACGCUAAUACCGCAUACGACCUACGGGUGAAAGCAGGGGAUCUUCGGACCUUGCGCGAUUGAAUGAGCCGAUGUCGGAUUAGCUAGUUGGCGGGGUAAAGGCCCACCAAGGCGACGAUCCGUAGCUGGUCUGAGAGGAUGAUCAGCCACACUGGAACUGAGACACGGUCCAGACUCCUACGGGAGGCAGCAGUGGGGAAUCUUGCACAAUGGGCGCAAGCCUGACCCAGCCAUGCCGCGUGAGUGAAGAAGGCCUUCGGGUUGUAAAACCCUUUUGUUGGGAAAGAACAGCAGCAGGUUAAACCACCGCCGUCCUGACGGUACCCAAAGAGUAAGCCCCGGCUAACUUCGUG